RNAcentral lists this ribosomal RNA (435 nucleotides) under uncultured marine bacterium. RNAcentral describes it as "bacterial SSU rRNA". It matches the Rfam family "Bacterial small subunit ribosomal RNA", at positions 360 to 804 of the family's 1533-position model. The record is from RNAcentral.
AAUAUUGGUCAAUGGGAGCAAGCCUCAUCCAUCCAUGCCGCGUGAGUGAAGAAGGCUCUAGGGUAGUAAAGCACAUUCAAGUGGGAAGAAAAGGUAAUGGUUAAUAACCAUUAGUUUAAGCAGCACCGAAAAACUUCGUACCAGCAGCCGUGGUAAGACGGAGGGUGGGAGUGUUAAUAGGUAUUACUGGGAGUGAAGCGCGCGUAGGUUGUUUAAUAAGCAGGAUAAGAAAUCCCCGGGCUCAACGUAAGAACUGCAUCUUGAAUUGGUAGAGUAGAGUAUAGUAGAAAAUAGUGGAAUUUCAGGUGUAGCGAUGAAAUGAGUAGAUAUGUGAAGGAACAUCAGUGGGGAAGGCGAUUAUGUGGAUCAAUAAUGACACUGAGGUAGAAAGCGUGAGAGCAGACAGGAUUAGAUACCCUGGUAGUACACCCCGUA